RNAcentral lists this ribosomal RNA (301 nucleotides) under uncultured bacterium. RNAcentral describes it as "partial 16S ribosomal RNA". It matches the Rfam family "Bacterial small subunit ribosomal RNA", at positions 509 to 808 of the family's 1533-position model. The record is from RNAcentral.
CAGUCGCCGCGGUAAUACGAAGGGGGCUAGCGUUGCUCGGAAUGACUGGGCGUAAAGGGCGCGUAGGCGGAUGGCACAGUCAGAUGUGAAAUUCCCGGGCUUAACCUGGGGGCUGCAUUUGAUACGUGUUGUCUAGAGUGAGGAAGAGGGUCGUGGAAUUCCCAGUGUAGAGGUGAAAUUCGUAGAUAUUGGGAAGAACACCGGUGGCGAAGGCGGCGACCUGGUCCGUAACUGACGCUGAGGCGCGAAAGCGUGGGGAGCAAACAGGAUUAGAUACCCCAGUAGUCCCUGUCUCUAUACA